UUCCUGCCGCCCCCCCCCCCGCGCCGUUCGGAGCCGCGGCGCUGGAAGUGAAUUUUAUAAAGCUGAUCGAUAUCUUGGUAAAAUAUUCAUUUUUAAACGGGCGCCCGGCGAAAUCUUUGCUUUGUGCUAAAGUCAACAGUGGCACAGUUGGAGCUCCAAUAAAUGCCGGGAUGCUCCCAGCUCCCGCACAGCCGGGCCGGCGGCCGGGGCGCAGGAAUCGCCGCUCUCCCGGUGCCAUUCCCGCAGCUCCCUCUUUCCUGCACCCGCGUGGGCCAAAAAAUCCGGGAUCCAAACAUUCCCGCGGGUGUGCUUGCCGGGAAAACCGGGAAUUUCAGCGGCCCUUCCCGAGGUUCGGGGGGCACGAGGCGGGGGUCACGGCUCGGAGAGGGUGGCCGUGUCCCCCUCCGUGUCCCUCUCCGUGUCCCCUCACGGCGACAGGUGACACGGCUAAUGAGCUCUCGCUAAUUAACGCUGACAGCUCCAAUUAGCGCUCCGCGCCCGCCUGUCCCCCCCGCGGGGGGCAGCGCCCAUCCCGCCGCCUUCUCGCUCCUGCCCUGCCGCUCCCGGCUGCUUUUCCCUCUUUUCCCGAGCAUUCCCAGCUCUCCGCAAUUGCCGGGAUCGCUGUGUCCCUGCUCCGUUUUCCUGUCAGUUCCCGUCAAAUCCCGGGUUCGGGGUGUUUUUUGGGAUGCGGUUGGGGAAUGCCGAGCAGGACCGGGCAGGGCCUGAGCUCCCAGAUCAGCCCCGCUCCAGCGGCUUCUCUUCCCUCCGUUAUCCAUAGUUUUCUUUAAUUUUUCCACGACUUCUCCCGCCAGGAAAAGCUACUUUCCCCCUUUUUUAUUUUUCUUUUUUCUUUUAAUUAUCCCGGCCUUUAAUGACAUUCAGGGACGGCUCCAAGGACAUCAAAGCACAAAGAGGACGGGGAAGCCCCGAUGGGAUCCCAAAUUCUCCCCCAAAUCUUUCCCCCAGGAUAACCGGCCCUGCCUUCCCUGAUCGCAGCAUCCAGCGCAUUUCUGGAUGAUCCCAAGGAAAAAAAAAAAAAA
Molecule: long non-coding RNA, 1040 nt
Organism: Motacilla alba alba
Lineage: Eukaryota; Metazoa; Chordata; Aves; Passeriformes; Motacillidae
Exons: 2
Source: RefSeq, a predicted model, not a curated record